RNAcentral lists this ribosomal RNA (531 nucleotides) under uncultured bacterium. RNAcentral's name for it is "bacterial SSU rRNA". It matches the Rfam family "Bacterial small subunit ribosomal RNA", at positions 355 to 896 of the family's 1533-position model. The record is from RNAcentral.
UGGGGAAUAUUGCACAAUGGGCGCAAGCCUGAUGCAGCGACGCCGCGUGGGGGAUGACGGCCUUCGGGUUGUAAACUCCUUUCGCCAGGGACGAAGCGUUUUGUGACGGUACCUGGAGAAGAAGCACCGGCUAACUACGUGCCAGCAGCCGCGGUAAUACGUAGGGUGCAAGCGUUGUCCGGAAUUACUGGACGUAAAGAGCUCGUAGGUGGUUUGUCACGUCGUCUGUGAAAUUCCACAGCUUAACUGUGGGCGUGCAGGCGAUACGGGCUGACUUGAGUACUGUAGGGGUAACUGGAAUUCCUGGUGUAGCGGUGAAAUGCGCAGAUAUCAGGAGGAACACCGAUGGCGAAGGCAGGUUACUGGGCAGUUACUGACGCUGAGGAGCGAAAGCAUGGGUAGCAAACAGGAUUAGAUACCCUGGUAGUCCAUGCCGUAAACGGUGGGCGCUAGGUGUAGGGGCCUUUUGGGGUUUCUGUGCCGUAGCUAACGCAUUAAGCGCCCCGCCUGGGGAGUACGGCCGCAAGGCUA